GUAUUGGUAAUUUAUUCAUGGGAAUACAUGGAGAUGCACUGAGGAUUUAAUGAAUUCCCCCUCCUAAGGGGCAGGUCACAGGUUCAAAUCCUGUUCGGGACACCA
Molecule: transfer RNA, 105 nt
Filed under: Legionella sp.
Lineage: Bacteria; Pseudomonadati; Pseudomonadota; Gammaproteobacteria; Legionellales; Legionellaceae
Description: tRNA-Arg
Source: RNAcentral